AGAGUUUGAUCCUGGCUCAGGACGAACGCUGGCGGCGUGCUUAACACAUGCAAGUCGAGCGGUAAGGCUCCUUCGGGAGUACACGAGCGGCGAACGGGUGAGUAACACGUGAGCAAUCUGCCCUUCACAUCGGAAUAACCAUUGGAAACGAUGGCUAAUACCGAAUAUGACUUCGGAAUGCAUGUUCUGAAGUGGAAAGCUCCGGCGGUGAAGGAUGAGCUCGCGGCCUAUCAGCUUGUUGGUGAGGUAAUAGCUCACCAAGGCGAUGACGGGUAGCCGGCCUGAGAGGGUGACCGGCCACACUGGGACUGAGACACGGCCCAGACUCCUACGGGAGGCAGCAGUGGGGAAUAUUGGACAAUGGGCGAAAGCCUGAUCCAGCAACGCCGCGUGAGGGAUGACGGCCUUCGGGUUGUAAACCUCUUUCAGCGGGGACGAAGCGAAAGUGACGGUACCGCAGAAGAAGCACCCGGNCAACUACGUGCCAGCAGCCGCGGUAAUACGUAGGGUUGCAAGCGUUGUNCCGGAAUUAUUGGGCGUUAAAGGGGCUCGUANGCCGGUUUNGUCACGUCNGGGAGUUGAAAAACUCCAGGGGCUCAAACCCUUGAGGCG
Molecule: ribosomal RNA, 612 nt
Filed under: uncultured Aeromicrobium sp.
Lineage: Bacteria; Bacillati; Actinomycetota; Actinomycetes; Propionibacteriales; Nocardioidaceae
Description: bacterial SSU rRNA
Rfam family: Bacterial small subunit ribosomal RNA
Source: RNAcentral